This 479-nucleotide ribosomal RNA is filed under the name uncultured bacterium. RNAcentral describes it as "bacterial SSU rRNA". It matches the Rfam family "Bacterial small subunit ribosomal RNA", at positions 330 to 801 of the family's 1533-position model. The record is from RNAcentral.
ACCGUACUCCUACGGGAGGCAGCAGUGGGGAAUAUUGGACAAUGGGCGAAAGCCUGAUCCAGCCAUGCCGCGUGUGUGAAGAAGGUCUUCGGAUUGUAAAGCACUUUAAGUUGGGAGGAAGGGCAUUAACCUAAUACGUUAGUGUUUUGACGUUACCAACAGAAUAAGCACCGGCUAACACCGUGCCAGCAGCCGCGGUAAUACGGAGGGGGCUAGCGUUGUUCGGAAUUACUGGGCCUAAAGCGCACGUAGGCGGACCAGAAAGUUGGGGGUGAAAUCCCGGUGCUCAACCCCGGAACUGCCUUCAAAACUAUUGGUCUGGAGUUCGAGAGAGGUGAGUGGAAUACCGAGUGUAGAGGUGAAAUUCGUAGAUAUUCGGUGGAACACCAGUGGCGAAGGCGGCUCACUGGCUCGAUACUGACGCUGAGGUGCGAAAGCGUGGGGAGCAAACAGGAUUAGAAACCCUGGUAGUCCUUGAC